RNAcentral lists this ribosomal RNA (376 nucleotides) under uncultured bacterium. RNAcentral's name for it is "bacterial SSU rRNA". It matches the Rfam family "Bacterial small subunit ribosomal RNA", at positions 362 to 758 of the family's 1533-position model. The record is from RNAcentral.
UAUUGGACAAUGGGCGCAAGCCUGAUCCAGCCAUGCCGCGUGAGUGAUGAAGGCCUUCGGGUUGUAAAGCUCUUUUGGCGGGGACGAUGAUGACGGUACCCGCAGAAUAAGCCCCGGCUAACUUCGUGCCAGCAGCAGCGGUAAGACGAAGGGGGCUAGCGUUGUUCGGAAUUACUGGGCGUAAAGCGAGUGUAGGUGGUUGUCCAAGUUGGAUGUGAAAGCCUUGAGCUCAACUCAAGAAAUGCAUUCAGGACUGGAUGGCUAGAGGACCGGAGAGGAUAGUGGAAUUCCCAGUGUAGUGGUGAAAUACGUAGAGAUUGGGAAGAACACCAGUGGCGAAGGCGGCUAUCUGACAGUUUCGACACUAAGACCGAAA